Molecule: non-coding RNA, 82 nt
Organism: Nematostella vectensis (starlet sea anemone)
Lineage: Eukaryota; Metazoa; Cnidaria; Anthozoa; Actiniaria; Edwardsiidae
Source: Rfam
GUUGCGGUGGCCGAGCGGUUAAGGCGUUGGACUAGAAAUCCAAUGGGAUCUUCCCGCGCAGGUUAGAGUCCUGCCGGCAACG